This 253-nucleotide ribosomal RNA is filed under the name uncultured bacterium. RNAcentral's name for it is "partial 16S ribosomal RNA". It matches the Rfam family "Bacterial small subunit ribosomal RNA", at positions 524 to 776 of the family's 1533-position model. The record is from RNAcentral.
GACGUAGGGCGCGAGCGUUGUCCGGAUUUAUUGGGCGUAAAGAGCUCGUAGGCGGUUUGUCGCGUCUGCUGUGAAAACCCGAGGCUCAACCUCGGGCCUGCAGUGGGUACGGGCAGACUAGAGUGCGGUAGGGGAGAUUGGAAUUCCUGGUGUAGCGGUGGAAUGCGCAGAUAUCAGGAGGAACACCAAUGGCGAAGGCAGAUCUCUGGGCCGAUACUGACGCUGAGGAGCGAAAGCGUGGGGAGCGAACAGG